GGCGGCGUGCCUAAUACAUGCAAGUCGAACGAAGCUUUCUUUCACCGAAUGCUUGCAUUCACCGAAAGAAGCUUAGUGGCGAACGGGUGAGUAACACGUAGGCAACCUGCCCAAAAGAGGGGGAUAACACUUGGAAACAGGUGCUAAUACCGCAUAACCAUGAACACCGCAUGAUGUUCAUGUAAAAGACGGCUUUUGCUGUCACUUUUGGAUGGGCCUGCGGCGUAUUAACUUGUUGGUGGGGUAACGGCCUACCAAGGUGAUGAUACGUAGCCGAACUGAGAGGUUGAUCGGCCACAUUGGGACUGAGACACGGCCCAAACUCCUACGGGAGGCAGCAGUAGGGAAUCUUCCACAAUGGACGAAAGUCUGAUGGAGCAACGCCGCGUGAAUGAAGAAGGCCUUCGGGUCGUAAAAUUCUGUUGUCAGAGAAGAACGUGCGUGAGAGUAACUGUUCACGUAUUGACGGUAUCUGACCAGAAAGCCACGGCUAACUACGUGCCAGCAGCCGCGGUAAUACGUAGGUGGCGAGCGUUGUCCGGAUUUAUUGGGCGUAAAGGGAACGCAGGCGGUCUUUUAAGUCUGAUGUGAAAGCCUUCGGCUUAACCCAAGUAGUGCAUUGGAAACUGGAAGACUUGAGUGCAGAAGAGGAGAGUGGAACUCC
RNAcentral lists this ribosomal RNA (664 nucleotides) under Ligilactobacillus ruminis. Its description in RNAcentral is "bacterial SSU rRNA". It matches the Rfam family "Bacterial small subunit ribosomal RNA", at positions 38 to 670 of the family's 1533-position model. Lineage: Bacteria; Bacillati; Bacillota; Bacilli; Lactobacillales; Lactobacillaceae. The record is from RNAcentral.